Molecule: ribosomal RNA, 1512 nt
Filed under: activated sludge metagenome
Description: bacterial LSU rRNA
Rfam family: Bacterial large subunit ribosomal RNA
Source: RNAcentral
CAGCAGUGAGGGCUUGGGUGCUAAGGUCCAAGUCCGAGAGGGAAAGAACCCAGACUAACAGCUAAGGUCCCAAAAUCUAAUCUAAGUUGAACAAAGGAGGUUCAGUUGCAGAGACAGCCAGGAUGUUUGCUCGGAAGCAGCAAUUCAUUUAAAGAGUGCGUAACAGCUCACUGGUCGAGCGACAGAGCAUCGAUAAUAAACGGGCAUCAAGAAUAGUACCGAAGCUUUAGAUUUAUACUUUAGAAGUAUAAGUGGUAGGGGAGCAUUCUAAGGUCGGUGAAGGCGGGACGCGAGUCCUGCUGGAGAGCUUAGAAAAGCAAAUGUAGGAAUAAGUAACGAUAAAGCAGGUGAGAAUCCUGCUCACCGAUAGACUAAGGUUUCCUGAUCAACGUUCGUCGGAUCAGGGUUAGUCGGGACCUAAGGCGAACCCAUCGUAGUGGUGGGGCAGUCGAUGGACAACUGGUUAAUAUUCCAGUACUAAUGUAUACUGCUAUGGAGAGACGGAGUAGUGACAAGUUCGCGUGGUGACGGAAUACCACGUUAAAGCCAGUAGAUAUAUUUUGAGUAGGCAAAUCCGCUCGAAAUGUCGAAGGUGAUAGUACAACAAAGCUUCGGCCGCGUUGAUAGUAACUGUAAUCAGACUUCCAAGAAAAUCUUCUAUGCUUCAGGUAUACAUGACCCGUACCGCAAACCGACACAGGUAGUCAAGGAGAGAAUCCUGAGGUGCGCGAGUGAUUCACGGCUAAGGAACUCGGCAAAUUAACCCUGUAACUUCGGGAGAAGGGGUGCUUCCUCUAGCGAUAGAGAAGCCGCAGUGAAAAGUCUCAGGCGACUGUUUAACAAAAACACAUGGCUCUGCGAAAUCGAAAGAUAAAGUAUAGGGCCUGACACCUGCCCGGUGCCGGAAGGUUAAGAGGGGGGCUUAGCAGCAAUGCGACGGUCUGAAUCGAAGCCCCGGUAAACGGCGGCCGUAACUAUAACGGUCCUAAGGUAGCGAAAUUCCUUGUCGGGUAAGUUCCGACCUGCACGAAUGGUGUAACGAUCUGAGAACUGUCUCAGCCGUGAGCUCGGUGAAAUUGUAGUAGCGGUGAAGAUGCCGCUUACCCGUCACGGGACGGAAAGACCCCGUGCACCUUUACUAUAGCUUUGCAUUGAUUUUGGGUAAAUGAUGUGUAGGAUAGGUGGGAGGCUUUGAAGCGGGUACGCUAGUAUUCGUGGAGCCAACGUUGAAAUACCACCCUUUAUUUACUUGGAGUCUAACCCCUGAAUAGGGAAACAGUGCAUGGUGGGUAGUUUGACUGGGGUGGUCGCCUCCAAAAAAGUAUCGGAGGCUUCUAAAGGUUCCCUCAGUACGCUUGGUAACCGUACGUAGAGUGCAAUGGCAUAAGGGAGCUUGACUGUGAGACAAACAAGUCGAUCAGGUACGAAAGUAGAGCAUAGUGAUCCGGUGGUUCCGCAUGGAAGGGCCAUCGCUCAAAGGAUAAAAGGUACGCCGGGGAUAACAGGCUGAUC